GGACGGCGUCCACCUUCAUCUUGGACCCUUGCUCUUGCACCAGCAUCACUUCAGUGGUCUUGGUGGGCAUGGCGUAGCUGUGGAGAGAGAAACAACUCGGCAUCAGCAGUCCGGACGCGACAACAAGGCCAGCGGAAGCUUUUCCUUUCGGGAGAACAAAGCCAGGCUGCUGCUCUGAUCUCAGCAUCGCUCCUGGGAUUGUGAAGCGCUCAAGUGAGGAAACAGAGUCAGGCUGGAGCAGAGACCUUAUCUCUGAACUCAGGAAGGAGGCAGAAACCAGAAUCCAAAAGGGCCCUGAAAGGAUAUAUACACAUAUAGGAUCCUCUGGUGGCUCAGUGUGUUAAAGCGCUGAGCUGCUGAACUUGCAGACCUAAAUGUCCCAGGUUCAAACCCGGGGAACGGAGUGCGCGCCCGCUGUUAGCUCCAGCUUCUGCCAACCUAGCAGUUCGAAAAUAUGCAAAUGUGAGUAGAUCAAUAGGUACCGCUCAGGCGGGAAGGUAACAGCAUUCCAUGCAGUCAUGCCGGCCACAUGACCUUGGAGGUGUCUAUGGACAACGCCGGCUCUUCGACUUAGAAAUGGAGAUGAGCACCAACCCCCAGAGUCAGACACGACGAGACUUAACGUCAGGGGAAACCUUUACCUUUACCUAUACAUCUACAUACAGAACAUUUACGAUUGCCACCUCCACAAGGAUUAUUUAAUUUUACACAUUAAUCCUUUUUGAGACAAUUCUUAUAGAUUUAGAUACUAUAUAACAUUUCCUAUACUAUAUAACAUAUCCUAUUUCUUAUGGCCUGAUUUCUACUUACUCAUAAUAUCAUUCUUGACCUGGUUCCAUCUUUCUUCAACUUCUCGCAUUCUGUUUUCAUUAUCUUUUGAAUCAUUUAAUUUUACAUUCGUAAUUUCGAAUUCCAUUUGAUGCACCAUAUACUGAUACCAUUUAUUUACUGUCCACUUUGAUUUGUCUUUCCAUCCCAAUACUAUCACUGCUUAUGCGCAGUAAAUUAUUGCUUCCUUUAUUUCCCUGUAAUUUUCCAUUCCCUCUCUCUGUACUCAGACCACAAUUUCUUUUGUUAUCACUCAAUCGAUUCCUAAUAUUUGGUUUGACACAUUUUGGAUAGUCUGCCAGAAGUAUUGUACCUGUUCACAUUCCCACAUCAUGUGCAUAAGCCACCUUUUCUGUUGACAUCCAUGCCAGCAUUGACUGCUCCCCUUUUUAUAAUGGUAUGCUAAUUGACCAGUUGUACGAUACCACUUAUGGAAUAUUUUCCUCCUCAUUUCUCUUACUUUUGUAUUCCUUGCUGUCCCUAUUGCCUCUACCACUUGUCUCAUAUCUUGUUCUGUAAUUUCUGAAUAUUAUUUGUGAAUAUUUUAAAGAAUAUUUCUGGGAAUAUUUUUAAAGAAUAAUUUUGUGACUAUUAUUUGUGAAUUGUGAAAGACUAUACAAAUACAGUAUGUUUUGUGAAUACAGUAGUCUCACUUAUCCAACAUAAACGGGCUGGCAGAACAUUGGAUAAGCGAAUACGUUGGAUAAUAAGGAGAUAUUAAGGCGAAGCCUAUUAAACAUCAAAAUAGGUUAUUAUUUUACAAAUUAAGCACCAAAAUAUCAUGUUAUAUAACAAAUUUGACAGAAAAAGUAGUUCAUUACACAUUAAUGCUAUGUAGUAAUUACUGUAUUUAUGAAUUUAGCACCAAAAUAUCACAAUGCAUUGAAAACAUUGACUACAAAAAUGCGUUGGAUAAUCCAAAACGUUGGAUAAGCGACACUCUACUGUAUUCUUUGGUGAAUAUUUUUAUAAAUAUCUUUUGUGAACAUUUGUGUUAAUACUUUUACAGAUAUUUUCUGUGAAUAUUUAUAUGAAUAUUUUGGCUAAUAUUUUUGUGAAUAUUAAUUAAUCUAUAUAUAUAAAUGAGUGAUGGCAUCACGGCGACCAACAAAACAACAAAACUACAGGCCCCCCAACCUUGAAAUUUGACAACACAAUCCAUCAUCCAUGCCUCUAGGUUGAUACAACAAAAAGAAAAGAAAAAUAAAGUCCUAAUUAGAGGGAAAGGAAUAAUUGUUUUUAUCCAAUUGCAGCCAGUUAGAGGACUAAUCUCUGCCCACUUGGUCUCCUAGCAACUAACUCAGCCCAGGGGACAGGCAGACUUAGGCCUCACUUAGGCUUCUUCCACAGAUUAUCUAAUUUGCACUGGAUUAUAUGGCAGUGUAGACUCAAGGCUCUUCCACACAACUAUAUAACCCAUUUAUAAUGUCAGGGGAAAACCUUUACCCUUUACCUUAACUACCACCAAUUCCUCAAUAGUUUAUUUUCCAUACCACCAUACUUUGCCACAGCAACGCAUGGCCGGGCACAGCUACCGUGUUUCCCCGAAAAUAAGACAGUGUCUUAUAUUAAUUUUUGCUCCCAAAGAUGCUCUAGGUCUUAUUUUCAGGGGAUGUCUUAUUUUUUCAUGAAGAAGAAUUCACAUUUAUUGUUGAACAAAAAAAUGAACAUUUAUUAUAUACUGUACAGUAGUGGUCAUCAUAAACCAGCAUAACCAGACAAACUGUGAAUCUUAUCAAAAAUUUCUUGUUACUACCAAUAUUUCCAUGUACAACAUUUUAUGGUAUGUACAUUUACCGAUCAUGCAUGCUUCCAAACAAAAGCUUUGCUAGGUCUUACUUUCGGGGGAGGCCUUAUAUUUAACAAUUCAGCAAAACCUCUACUAGGUCUUAUUUUCUGGGGAUGUCUUAUUUUAGGGGAAACAGGGUAGUAUGAAUAUAUUUGUGGAUAUUUUAAAGAAUAUUUUCUGUGAACAUUUUGAUGAAUAUUUUUGUGACUGAUUUUACUGUUAGAGGUCUCCAAAAAGCAGCUGGGUGGUCACUUUUGAGGGUGCUUAAGUUAUGCAUUUCGGUGUGGUAGAAGUAAAACAUCAGGAUUGAAAGAGACCCCAGGGCCACCCAAUCUAAAUCUCUUCUGCCAGGCAGGAAUUCAAGAUCAAGCUCUCCCUCCAGAUCGCCAUCCGAACUCUGGCUUAAAGCCUCCAAUAAACUAACACUCAACCUCCCCCUUACACGUGGAUCCCAGCCUGAAAGUAUGAACCCACGCCUGUGCAUGAGCAUCCUACC
Molecule: long non-coding RNA, 3113 nt
Organism: Anolis carolinensis (green anole)
Lineage: Eukaryota; Metazoa; Chordata; Lepidosauria; Squamata; Anolidae
Exons: 3
Source: RefSeq, a predicted model, not a curated record